This 354-nucleotide ribosomal RNA is filed under the name Triticum aestivum (bread wheat). RNAcentral's name for it is "partial small subunit ribosomal RNA". Lineage: Eukaryota; Viridiplantae; Streptophyta; Magnoliopsida; Poales; Poaceae. The record is from RNAcentral.
AUGAAAGAAAGAUGGUGGCCUGGGAACCCAAGCUGUUCAUUUUGUGAUCAGUUGGAAACAGCCCAACAUUUAUUCUUCCUAUGUCUUGUAGCUAGAGUGGUGUGGAGGAAUGUUGGGUCUGUUAGGGACUCUUGUUGCCCUAACUCUAUAUGUCAAUACUAUGCUUGGGUUUAUGCUUUGUUGCCUGGUUUUGAUAAUGUUUACACUGUUGGGCUAGCAGCAAUUUGUUGGGCUAUUUGGCUUGCCUGGAAUCGUGCCACAUUUCAGCUCAAAUGGAUAAAUACUCCCUUUGAGAUUUUUUUACGUCUUCUGGUUUUCUGAUGUAUUGGGCAAGGCUUCAGAAACCAGAGAUGA